AUGGUGGUCACUCUGGAACUGCUCACAGACAGAAAGAUUUGGCUAUGUUUGCACCGUGCAUGGCCACUUCCCGACAGCAUUAGUGGAAACUGCCUUUCCCCGGUGACCUUGCUGCUAAGCUGGAGACUGCCAGGGACUGUCACCUCCAAUGACACUGCUCAGAGGGUCCUUGUCAGAACAAUUACCACUGCAUUUCCCUGGUGCCUGCUCAGCUUCAUUGGCUGCACUCCGGAGAGUGAAAAGGCAACUACUCUUACCCCUCAUUUAACUAAACCAUGCCGAGAGAGAAAGAAGUGCCUCUCCUCUCUCCUCCCUGCUGUGACCGGUGGCCGAAGGGCAGGGAACACCUUGGGCAGCAGAUCAAGACUGAUGUGA
Molecule: long non-coding RNA, 375 nt
Filed under: Anser cygnoides (Swan goose)
Lineage: Eukaryota; Metazoa; Chordata; Aves; Anseriformes; Anatidae
Description: lncRNA (ENSACDG00005000351.1)
Source: RNAcentral